Molecule: long non-coding RNA, 2490 nt
Organism: Taeniopygia guttata (zebra finch)
Lineage: Eukaryota; Metazoa; Chordata; Aves; Passeriformes; Estrildidae
Source: Ensembl
GAAUUGAUAUGUUCACAGGAAAACCUGGCAUUUUCUGAUUUAACUUUGGCAUACAGACAAUUACAGGUGCCCUUCAGCUGUCAUGGUGAAAUCUGUGUGAUGGUGAUCUUUCUGGAUUUUAAUGAACAUAAAGCCACUGCAGCUCUUCAGCAUCUUGUGGCAUUUUGCAUUCAUGUCCUUGCCAGGCAGAUGGUGGAGUUGAGGGUUGUGGAGAUUGGCCUAGCUCUGGAAUGAGGUGUGCGAAUUGCCUGGGGAAAUUUCCUGCUCCCAUUUAUUCAUAUGUGCAGAUGAGAAGGAAGGGCAUCUCCAGACUUCCACAUUGAAAUACCUAAAUCCAGCACCUGGAUUCAUUUAAGCAUAAUAGGUCUCUCUCCCUGCCUCUCAUCACAUAACCAGCAACAAAAUACUUGCAUUGUAUUUAUGAUUUAAUAGUACACUCCAUUUUCUGCUGCAAUAGGAGUUUGAGUAAUGUAACAAGAAACUCCUGUUGCAUUACUUUUUAAAGAAACUAAUUUCUGUAAAGGUGGAAGAGCAGCAAUAGAGGGAAUAGGUCCAGACUCUAUCUGUAAAUACCUGUGCUGUGCAUGCUAUGCCUGAGAGCACCAGGAGCAAGUUAUGCCUUUUUGUAAUAACAAGUUGAGAAGGACAAAAGGGAUAAUUGCCUCUAAGCACAUUUUCUGUAGCUGGAGGAUAUUUAUAUCAUUGAAUUUUAAAUAUCUAGAGUAGAUAGUAAAGUUAGGACACUAUUCUCCUAGGGUCUGUCACUGAGUAGAUAGGUUCUUCCGCAGGGUAAUUCAGAUCAGAUUAGUCUUCAAUUGAGGCCUUGAAUUGACCUUUGGAAAAGAAGAGGUCUUUGUAGACCCAGUAAAAUUUCUGUUGGAAGCUAGCAUGAGUGGAUUCAGAGUAAGAGGUUGCUUACACCUUGGUGCUCUGUAUUAUCUCUCCCCUGGCUUGACUUGCUUCCACUGAAGGCCACCACUUGCUUUGCUCUGUUAGAUGAACUGGAUAUGAUUGCUCCCUACAAAAUAUCUUAGUUAAAAUCAGAAAACUGCUUGUUUUCUAGUACUUGUCCUUUUGGUUGUUUGGGGUUUUUUUACCCUCUCAAUUUGGCUAUUAAAGCAAGCAGAAGGAAGGGGGCAUUUAGCUUCAAUUAAAAGAAUAACAAGCAGCAGGUGGGAGCAUGUUGGUCAUGCAAAUGCUUUAAUUCAAAUUAGCAUAAAUGAGGAUAGCCGCUCUUGAUUGUGAUCCAAAGCUUCUUAAUUUGUACGUAGCUCAUCUCAGUAUUGUGCCACAAAAAUGUCCAAAGUGAGCUUGUUUAUUUGCACCUCAUUAUGGUGGUUGAAGCCCUAAAGUAUAAAAUGCUACUUUUAUACAUAUGUGAACAUAUGAGAACUUUCAGGUCCUAACUGGCUUCAAUAAAUUCCUAAAAAAAAAGAUUCUUCCUUCCAAACAAACAUUGGAAGUUUUAGAUUAGAAAGGCUAGUAAGAGCAUAUUUAAAGUAUAGUGAAGGCAGUGGUUAGCAAAUCUAAGCUGGAAGGAGGGGCAGCAGUCCUUGGAUGUGUUUUUCAGGACUGUUUUCCUGGUCUUAAGCUGCAUUGGCCCAUGAAGCUAACAUCUACUCCUUUGCAGUCCUCAAUAUAGUCAGUAUUCCAAGAGCUCUUUCUGUAUGUGCAGUCUUAGAUCCCAAAUCUGUUUUCUGUGUUCCUAUGAAGUAAAUAGCUGUGCCACUUUUAGUUUUGUCUUCCUCUUAGUAUACUAGCGGUGUUUAUCUUAACAUCUAUAUUUAUUUUAAUAUUCCUCUCUGAGACUCAUGUUUUUCUGUUAUACUUAGGCAAGUACUUGAUUACAUUUCAAAAUGAGGUUUCUCCUCUGGUAUGUGUUCUGCUUGACCAAGAGUAAGUGGAAGAUAAUGUUAUUAGUGUGUUUCUUCUUUUUAGAUGUGGCUACUGUAUCUUUUUUCUUUCUGUGUGUAAACCCAAAAGUGUCUGUGUUUGCACACACAGCUCUGGCAUGGAUCCCUGGCUCCUCCUCAUUUGACUGAUGCUUUUGGGGUAUGAAUUAUGGUUUGACUUGAAUGCACACAUAGACGCAAAACAGAGAUGUUAGCCCUGUAUUCAUGAAGGAUUUCAUUUAUUAUGGAGAAAUCAUCUAAUGCCUUAUAUUGUUAAUUCAAAGAUAAAAUAUUCUUAUCUUUAAAAGUUAACCAAUGAUUUAUAUUUUGGAAAUUAGGCCUGUUUUCUUCUGCUGUGUUGGAUCAUUUAAAAUAUCAUAAUACUGUGUUGUGCAGUUUACUCCAUUACUGCUGGUAUAAAGAAAUUGAAAUUAAUGUUCUCCCUGAGUUGUCAGUGUCUGCUAAUUCAGAGAUGACAGAAAAGUAUUAAAAUAUAUUCAACCUAUAAUAUUUAUCUUGCUUUGCACUUAAUUUGUUUCCCUUUGACUGGGUUGCAAAAUUCCAAGUGUACAUAAAAUAAUGAAUAAAUAAAAAAUAA